GACGAACGCUGGCGGCGUGCUUAACACAUGCAAGUCGUACGGUAAGGCCCUUUCGGGGGUCCACGAGUGGCGAACGGGUGAGUAACACGUGAGUAACCUGCCCACAACUUUGGGAUAACGCUAGGAAACUGGUGCUAAUACUGGAUAUGUGCUCCUGCUGCAUGGUGGGGGUUGGGAAGCUCCGGCGGUUGUGGAUGGACUCGCGGCCUAUCAGCUUGUUGGUGGGGUAGUGGCCUACCAAGGCGGCGACGGGUAGCCGGCCUGAGAGGGUGACCGGCCACAUUGGGACUGAGAUACGGCCCAGACUCCUACGGGAGGCAGCAGGGGGGAAUAUUGCACAAUGGGCGCGAGCCUGAUGCAGCAACGCCGCGUGCGGGAUGACGGCCUUCGGGUUGUAAACCGCUUUCAGCAGGGACGAAGCUUUUUGUGACGGUACCUGCAGAAGAAGCACCGGCUAACUACGUG
Molecule: ribosomal RNA, 465 nt
Filed under: uncultured bacterium
Lineage: Bacteria
Description: partial 16S ribosomal RNA
Rfam family: Bacterial small subunit ribosomal RNA
Source: RNAcentral